RNAcentral lists this unclassified non-coding RNA (324 nucleotides) under soil metagenome. RNAcentral's name for it is "partial contains 5.8S ribosomal RNA, internal transcribed spacer 2, and large subunit ribosomal RNA". The stretch from base 1 to 120 matches the Rfam family "5.8S ribosomal RNA", at positions 35 to 154 of the family's 154-position model. The record is from RNAcentral.
GAUGAAGAACGUAGCGAAAUGCGAUAAGUAAUGCGAAUUGCAGAAUUCAGUGAGUCAUCGAAUCUUUGAACGCACAUUGCGCCCUGUGGUAUUCCGCAGGGCAUGCCUGUUCGAGCGUCAUUUCAACCCUCAAGCCUCGCUUGGUGUUGGGCCCUGCCCGCCGCGGCCGGCCCUAAAGAUAGUGACGGCGCCGCCUGGCCCUCAGCGUAGUACAGCUCUCGCUCCAGGGUCCGGCGGCAGCCUGCCAGAACCCCCCAACUCUGUGGUUGACCUCGGAUCAGGUAGGGAUACCCGCUGAACUUAAGCAUAUCAAUAAGCGGAGGA